Molecule: long non-coding RNA, 280 nt
Organism: Hordeum vulgare subsp. vulgare (domesticated barley)
Lineage: Eukaryota; Viridiplantae; Streptophyta; Magnoliopsida; Poales; Poaceae
Exons: 3
Source: RefSeq, a predicted model, not a curated record
UCUUUGAUCUGGCCUGGCCGUGGUCACCACUGGUGAGUAUUUUUGUAGCACUUCAUUCUUUCCAUUCCAAGUUUUUGUGUUUUAUAUGUGUUGUGCCAUUAUUUCUUUGGUCUCCGUUGUAGAGAGAAGAAUGAAAAAAAUAUUAUUUAUGCACCGAGUUUGCAUCCAAAUUCCAAAGCCACAAGGUUGAUUUCUCUGUUGGGGAGUUGAGGUGGUGCUCAUCACUAUUCCGGUCGAUUUCUCUGUUGGGGAGUUGAGGUGGUGCUCAUCACUAUUCCGG